GUAGGGUGCAAGCGUUAAUCGGAAUUACUGGGCGUAAAGCGUGCGCAGGCGGUUCGGAAAGAAAGGUGUGAAAUCCCCGGGCUUAACCUGGGAACGGCACUUUUAACUACCGGGCUAGAGUGUGUCAGAGGGAGGUGGAAUUCCGCGUGUAGCAGUGAAAUGCGUAGAGAUGCGGAGGAACACCGAUGGCGAAGGCAGCCUCCUGGGAUAACACUGACGCUCAUGCACGAAAGCGUGGGGAGCAAACAGGAUUAGAUACCCUGGUAGUCCACGCCCUAAACGAUGUCAACUAGCUGUUGGGGGCUUCGGCUCUUGGUAGCGCACUAACGCGUGAAGUUGACCGCCUGGGGAGUACGGUCGCAAGAUUA
Molecule: ribosomal RNA, 368 nt
Filed under: uncultured Bordetella sp.
Lineage: Bacteria; Pseudomonadati; Pseudomonadota; Betaproteobacteria; Burkholderiales; Alcaligenaceae
Description: bacterial SSU rRNA
Rfam family: Bacterial small subunit ribosomal RNA
Source: RNAcentral